RNAcentral lists this long non-coding RNA (251 nucleotides) under Citrus maxima (pomelo). RNAcentral describes it as "long non-coding RNA (CMAX_LNC002264)". Lineage: Eukaryota; Viridiplantae; Streptophyta; Magnoliopsida; Sapindales; Rutaceae. The record is from RNAcentral.
GUGCCUUGGCAACAGUCUCUCUCUGCAAGCAUCUCUUCACCCAAGCAAUGAAUUUGGGGCACUCAGCCUCAACGCUGAACUUUCCAAAUGUCUCAUACGAAUAAAACCAACAAUAGUACGGGAUCAAACACAAAUCCACAUACCCAAAGUUGUCUCCUCCGAAAAAAGGCUUGUCUCCAAGCUCCCCUCCCAAGGUCUUCAGAACUUCGAUGAACUCCUUCUUUGCUGCCUCCUGCUCUUCUCCCUUUGUG